This is a long non-coding RNA of Andrographis paniculata, 532 nucleotides long. RefSeq lists it as uncharacterized. Lineage: Eukaryota; Viridiplantae; Streptophyta; Magnoliopsida; Lamiales; Acanthaceae. The transcript is spliced from 3 exons. The record is from RefSeq and is a predicted model, not a curated record.
UCUCUCCUUGCUGAAAAUUUAGGUGCAGGAAAUAUGGGAAUCAAUGGCGCCGGCUUGGUUCGUCUACUAGUGAAUAGCAAGUCGAUUUGGAAGUGUUGAGUUCUUCCACUUAGACAGAAAGGUUUCAUGCUCUCCUCGUCGGCCCGUGAUUUCUCCGACGUGGGCUACUCGCCGGAUGACCUGACAUCUGACGAUAAGGAACGCAGGCGGGCUCGGCUUGAAUGCGUUUUCAGACAUGCCCUACGAUGAGGUCAAGAAGAGGCGCUCUGGACAUGAACUUUACCCAUUGCCGCCAUCGAACAAUAAUAGGAACAAGAAAAGGAAUGGCUCUCUUAAAAAAUCAGGCUUGGGAUCGGAUCAACAACACCAAACGAUGAUGGGAUUCGAAGAACAUGUUUAAGGAGAGUAAUUGGGUAUGUAUGAGUUCUUGGUUUAGUUUUGUCGUGUUCAUUUUGCAGCCUUGUCACUUCUACAAAAUAAAGGGUAUUUAAACCCGUGUUAUCAUGUUUAGCACCGCACGUAAAUAAUAGUU